AAUCCAAUUUACACAUCUCCAUAAUGAAUGAAAGAGUUACAUUGUCACAAUAGCACAGAAAUUAUUUUUAUUUGGCAAGGACUUGUAAAAAUGUUGAACAACAACUUUUGUGAAGGCAUUCCAUUCAUUUUCAUGUGUCAGGCUAAAUUAAAAAGAAUAAGAAGCAGAAAUAGUGAAGAUUUACAUGUUUUGCUAUUAUUUUAAUCAUUCUGUCAGUACAGAAGCCUUAGAUUUUUCAGCAAGUCAUUAAGGAAUUUGUUCUUGUGUCUGUUUUUUAUUUUACGCCCCUCUUUUAAAUAUAUAUUUUCUGUCAGAAUUGAUGCAAGUCAUGUUGCCCUAGCUACUAUAAAUAAAAAAUCUAUGCACCAAGAGUCUAUACUAUAAAGAUGCUUUCUGAGUGGAUCAAUAACUACAUAUAUCUAUCAAGUGAAAGUAUAACCAUUUGGGUGUAACCAUUUUGGAAUAAAAUAUUGAAGAGCUGCAAGAUUUUUAUGACUUUUGCAGAAUUAAAAUUGUAUAUCUGAUUGAUUUUUGGGUGCUAAGCAUCCAUUGGCAAAUAUUUCAUACAUGUUUUGGACAUAGGUAAACAAGCACUGAAGUUUGAAUAAAGUUCUAAUGAUCAAAGGAACACACAAUUUAAGCAAAGUACUAAAUUAUUUUUUUCCAAGCAACCCAUCUCCAAAUUUAUAAAUUUUACAAACAGCUGAAGAAAUAAGGAACUUGUCGUCUCAAUUUUUUAGGUUUUAAAAGAUUGACUAUUAUGGUUAGAUAAUAGUCCCAGAUAUAGAGUAUUGAUAGUUUGUAUUUAAUGUAUCAUAUCAAUUGUCAACACAUUGUAAUGUUUACUGAUGUAAUUGAUACACCGAUGAUUUAACUGUCCACAGGUAUUGUACUUAAUCUUUACAGGUAAAUUAGACUUCCUACAUGGUCAUCCCUCAGGGCAGAAAGAUGACAAGAUGCUUGUCAAUCAGAGAUCUAAAGAGGAAGUCAACCAGUGAAAAACAGGUUCAGGAAAAUAAUGGUUUACAUGGCAACAUCUUUAAAGUACAUCGUCUGAUGAUUUGAUAAUAGUGAAUCUGAUGAAAUAUAUAGAGCAUGCACCACUGGCAGACCCAAGGACUUUUUGCUGAAAAAGAAGCCGUCAAGCAUUUGUGUGAGAUAAGAAGAUACACUGUCUGAAAUGCUAACCAGUUUAUAAAUGCCUAUGGAUCUAGAUAAAGAAUCCCAAAGCAGAAAGGAUCAGCUCAUAUCAAAAGGAAUAGACUAGAGAAAUUAGACAUGGGGAACAGUCCAUGUACCAGUUACACAUUGUCAAGAGAGGAGAUAAAUCCCAGGAUACUACCCAGUGAAAGAACAUGGACAUGUUUCUGAUCAUAUCAACAUUAAUAAUAAUGCCUGGAGUUCAGUUAUUACAUUAGGAACAACAGUUUGACAUAUACUUCCUAGGACUCCCACAUUAGGAGAGUUUUUACUUCCUAGAAAUCCCAUGGAGAGCCAUUGUAGCUAUUCAAUUUAAUAUACAGAUCAUCAUAUUUAGUACAGUACAAGUUAUAAAAUUCAAUAAAAAAGCAACUUACCCUUAUGUUUUUAUGAAUGUUUUUCUUAAGGAAUUUCCCAUAAUUGAUCGAUGUAAGACAUUUUUGUACACAAAUCCUUAUACUUUAUUUUUGUAAUAAAUCACAGAAAACUGGCACUAAUCCAGUCCUAAAGUAAUGAAUAUAUGAUCAAACUGUAAAAAGGUAUUAAUUUACUUCCUAAUGGGAAACAUGAUAUUUAAGGUCUAAUUAAAAGUACUUACCUUUUUGUAAUUAUUUCCCACACCUGGGAAUUGUUCUUUUUUGUUAUUUAUUCCUCUAAGAAUUAUUAUCCUGUGUGACUAAAGUAUUUUAACACAAUAUCUGACUAGACUGAUAUUGACAAUUAUUUCAUGCUCUAGGGGGUUGUGUCAAAGUGUAUGUUGUUAAAUAUCUAUCCAGGUAAACUUUUUACAAGUUCUCAAUGAGAAAGUUAUCUCACAACUGAAUACAAAAUUUGAAAAAUUAUAUACACAUUUUAUUAAUUGAAAUUUUUAUGAGCAGAAAUUUGCUUCAAUAGUUGCUGAUAGAGCAGAACUAUUCAAUUUAUUUCCCCAGGCAAAUCUAAAGGUUUAUUUAUCUCGAAACAUCAAUAGAUAUUUUGAUCUUGACAUGAUGAAUUUUUAUAAGCCUCCUGUUACUCUGCAUGAUUACAUUUUUUAACCCUAUCUCAUCUAGAGAAGAGUUCAUAAAACACUACUCGUUUCUGCUGUAGUAGCAUCUGUUCAUUUAAAUCACCAAUCAAAUUAACAAAGUUAAUAGAAUUUCUACACUUUUGCAUUUAUUUAUUACUUUUUGAGAGAUGAUCACAAUGCCUGGGCAAUUCAUGGUAAUUUAUAAAAUCAACUUCUUCGCCAGAACUCAAUUAUAGAACAUUCUAAUACAAUUUGUGUGAUGUUUACCAAAAUUUUAUUCAAAUCAUGGGGUGCCAUUAUAGACCUGAUUAUACUAGUUUUUAUAUCUGAGGAUUUUCAAACCCUAAAUCUCUACUCUAGAAACCUUAGUUUACUUUUAUUAUAAACAAAAUAUUUUUGAAACAAGUCAUAUAUUUUAUAAUCAACAUGUAUAGGUAUUAUGAAAGACCUAAAAGAAUGGCCCUGUUUUCUAGGUAAAAUUUCAAUAUUCUUUAAACAAUGACUAGAUAGUUAUUUGCCUAAAUGUGGUAGAAAUUCUAUUUCUGAUUUUACGACUUUCAUCAAUAUCUCUACUUUUGGCCAAUAUGGGUGUAAAUUUAAAGUCUUUAAAAAAAACCCUCAAAUUCGUAUUUCACUUUAAUGCAUCAAACUGAAAUACUUUAAUUUUUUAAGUUAUUUACUUAAGACUAAAUAGGACCCCUUCUCUUUAAUUCCAUAUUGGGUUAGUAAGUUAGUACAACAGUCAGCAAAUCUAUUUUAUUGCUAUUUUUAACCUUGAGUCUGUUCUGUAUGUAUUUUCACUUUUUUUAGAUAUUGAUCAGACAUUAUAACAAUGACAAGUAUGUAAUGUGGUAACACAUUUUACAAUGGAAUGUGGGAUUUAUAUAUAUUGUACUUAGAUAUGGUUAUUUUAUACUAUAGAUGUACAUGUAUACACUUAUUUGUAAUGGAAAUCAUCUAUUCAGACUAAAAAGUCUACAUUUUUUUAUAAAACAAGUUUUUUCUUUAUAAUUCAAACUAUAAUAUUUAUUUCAACACCUAAAACACAAUUUGUUUUUUUUUUAGUGUGAGAGGUUGAAAAUAAUGCAACAUAAACUCAAAUAAUUCAGGCAAAAGAUGGAGAGUUUGGAAAGCAUUGAAGUUUUAUUACCCCAAAAAGUCUGCUAAAGAAUUAUUUGGUAAUAAACAAAAAAUGAAAUCUCCUUUAAUAUUAAAUCAAAAACACUGUUUUAAUCCAGUGAAAAUAACUUUUCACAUUUUCACUUUAUUAUUAUCAACCUAGAUGGAAAGCAAAGAGACCCAUUAAUUUUAAAAGAUGAUACAACACUUUUCAUAACCAGAUGUUACAAAAACAAUUGUGUGUUUUGAAAACAAUCUGGAACCAGCAUGAUUCUCAGAAUGUCUGAAUGAAUUAAUAUACACCUACUGUUUACUAUAAGUAUAUCUCUUUUUUGUUUCUUUUGGAUCUUAGUAUGAGUAUACAGAGGUAGCAUACAUUUGAGCUCCAUGCAUGUCAAGUUAGAAAUCCUAUAAAUGAAACCUUUGGGUUGCAUGAUGACCUGACAUGUCUGAGGAUGGAAAGUAGUUCAAUCAAUAUGAUUUAUUUAAAUGUAUUUAAAAAAAUAGGAGAAAUGAGAUUUGUCUACGAAUGUGAUUUUACAUUGAUCCUGAUUAGCCUUCUUGUAAACAUUGCUUUGUUUGAAUACUGUGGAUUCAUUAUUAUUCGUUGGAUACCAAUUUUCGUGGGAACAGUUGAACCUCGAAAUUAAAUGUUCAACGAAUGACAAUUUUUCUCGUGGCUAGUACGCAGACUUCGGCAAAACCACGAAAUCAAAUAUCCACGAACAUGUAAGUUUUCCUCAAUCCACGAAAAUUGGUAUCCACGAAAAUAAAUGAAUCCACAGUUCAUAACAUUGUAAUUGAAAAUAGAUGUUCACAAUGCUUAUUAUUGAUCAGGUUAAGACUAGAAUGUGUGUUUAAUACAAUUUUUACAGAAAUUGAUUGUUUCAAUCGUGUUUCUUUGGUUUGAUGAAAAUAAUUUGAUUUGCAUAGAUCUGUUUUAUGUAAUAGAAUUAUAAGAUACUAUAUUUAAAAUGAAUUAAUCAAAGGAAAUCCUAGCUUCUUUCUGAGACAAUGAUAAAUGUAUGUAUAAAAUGUAGAUUUUGAGACUGAUAGAUUUUCCAUUCUUUCACAUUUCACAAAAUUGUAAAUAGUAUAUUAAGAUGAUUAAUAUAUUAAGUCUGUUUGCAGAUGAUAAAGUAGAACAUUUCACCAAGGAUUUGUGAUAAGUUCCAGUAGGAUUCCUUUAUGUAAGCCUGUCUGUCUGACUGUAAAUUCUAACUUCAGGAUGUUCGCUACUCUGUUUAAAAAUAACAAGCUUUUUUAAAGACUGUUAUAGAUUGAAAGUAUGUAAAUAAAAAAACAAAAAAAGCAGAAAAAAUGGAGGGUCCGUGUGCUUAUUUUCGAGUUGUAAGAGGGUUUGGAUGGAGUUAGAUGAUUAAAGAAUAAUGCCAUUAAAAUAUGAAGAUUAGAGAAUAACGGGCCAAAAAAAAGAAGAUUAGUGAAUAACGGGCAAAAAAAAGAAGAUUAGUGAAUAACGGGCCAAAAAAAUGAAGAUUAGUGAAAAAAAGGGUGGGGUUUUUUAACAUUAGAGAAAAAAAAGGGGUUAAUUUUUUGAAGAUUAGAGAAAAAAAGGGUGAAGAUUGAAUGUUUACAGAAUAACAGACCAAUAAUGGUUUCAGAGUUGUGUCCCUUCAAUUGUUUCAGACAGGUAAUAACAAAGUGAAAUAUCAGUCUUUCCAAAAAUGAAUAAUAUAUUUCCUUUUUAAUUUUUUUGUAUUUAUAAUAUUUUUAUUUGGCCAUUUCUUAAUGAGUCAAAUAAAAUACCUUUGCUGUAUCGUUAUAAUCUACCAUGAAAAUCAGAAAUUCAGUAUAUGUUUUAAAAAAUGUUUUUAUCUUCUUAUAUCAUCAUUAUUUAAUUCUAAAUACAGGGGAAUUUCAAAAGUGUUACCCCUUUUACUGUUCCAGAAUAUAACUCCAUACAUGCUAAACCUAAUGGAGGAGUAGGAAUAUGACAUAAAUGGUUUUUGGAUAAUACAUUAUGCAAGCUUAUAUCAUGUCCCUUAUAAGUUUAUUCUACACAUUUAUUUUAUUUUUUUGUUGGUUUUGAACAAGCAGUUUCUUAAUGAUAACAUAAAAGGCUUUAACAUAUUAAUGCAUUGCUGAAAAUAAAGAUUAAACUUAAGGGGGUUCGCGGGUCUAAAUCAUUUAUAUAGGAUUUCUCUAUAUUUUUCUAUAAAGGAACUUUAUCCUAAAGUUAAUAGAAAAAUAGAAUAAAAAAGUGGGGUCACCGUUCAUUUGCGCUCACAAUCUGCCUUCGAAAGAAACAUACAUUUUUGUAUAAGUGUUUUUUUUUCUGUUGAAAUAAUAGGAGAAAUAAAUUUAAUAUCAAAAUAAAAAAAAGAAAUUUAUUACAGAAAUCGCUCAAAUUUUACAAUAAUUUAGUUUAAGUACAGCUUAUAUGGAAAUUAUAAUAAAAAAUAUAGGUCACCGAUGAGUUGAAAAAGCUAUUUCAAUUUUAAAGCCAAAAAAUGGCAUUUUUCCACCAAAGGGAGAUAAUUUGGAACUGUUUCAAUGAUGUAUACAUCUUAAAAGUCAUCUGGAGCCAACACGAAUUGACUGUUUUGAAUGUUUUUUGUACCAUAUGAUAAAGUAACAACUACAAAAGGUAACAAAUAAAAUUUGUAUUGAAAAACAAAUGUUUAAUUUUUUUCUGAAAUUUUUAUACCCUCGAGCCUCCUUUUAAGACUAGAUUACUAUUGAUGUUUUGCUUCUUAUCAACCUAAAUGGAAAGGCUUAUUGAAUGGAGUUUGUGUUUAUCAUUGCUCUGUCUUACAAUUUUUUUCGUACUGAAAUACAAGCUUUAACUUUUUUGCAUUUCUCCUACUGUGCUGUUAGGAGACUAUCUGCAGGCUUUGCCUACUUAUAUCUUUGUAGGAACAAAACUCUGACAGCCAAUUUUAUUAACUUUUAGAUCUAACAAAACGAAAUUAUGAUAUGUAAUAAAACAUUAUUUAAAGGUAGCCUUUGAAUUAUCUUUAAUUCUCAUUAAGUGACCCCCUACCCUGUUAUUUCAGGACUACUUCAUUAAUAAGCUUUUAGAUAGUGACAUAUCUUGGUUUUUUUCAACAAACAAUUUAAUGUACUGAAACAAUUUUAGUAUAUACUCAUAUUGCCUUAUGUUAAAGGGCCCUUUAAUGUAUAUAUGACUUAUCCCUUUAGUAAACAAUGAAUUCCACAAGGUUGUCUCAGGUAAUGCAACAAUAUAUCAUGCUCUACUUAAAUGAGUCACCAUGGAAAACCUGUCAUUUCACAGAUUUGACAAAGUGUUUUGCAUUCAGUCAUUAUCUUUUGUGAAAUGUUUUACCUGUAAUUUGUCUCGGUCAAAAGCUAAUUUGCAGUGAUGAAUGUUUUAUUCUUUCCCUUUGUUAGCGGUCAAAUGUCAAAAGGCCAUUUACCUUUUCUGUACAACUUUUACUAAUGCUUCAUUAAAUAUGAUGGGAACAGUAACUGGUUGGUUGUUCAACCCUAUAAAAUUAACUCAUUUAUCUUUUUUUCUACUGAUAUAUAGUUUAAAUCAAAUGUUAUAUUGAUCUCUUGGGUAUUAAAUUGUUUCUUAACUUU
Mytilus trossulus (common blue mussel) is the source of this 6892-nucleotide long non-coding RNA. RefSeq lists it as uncharacterized. The transcript is spliced from 5 exons. The record is from RefSeq and is a predicted model, not a curated record. NCBI's taxonomy places the organism in Eukaryota, Metazoa, Mollusca, Bivalvia, Mytilida, Mytilidae.